ACAGCCACAUCACAUCGAAGCACUGGUUCCUGUACAAUCACUGAAGUUAAGCAGCAUCAAGCCUGGUCAGUACCUUGAUGGGUAACCAAUUGAGAAUACCAGGUGAUGUG
Molecule: non-coding RNA, 110 nt
Organism: Acanthosepion pharaonis
Lineage: Eukaryota; Metazoa; Mollusca; Cephalopoda; Sepiida; Sepiidae
Source: the annotation of a GenBank genome assembly